UACGUAGGGGGCAAGCGUUGUCCGGAUUUAUUGGGCGUAAAGAGCUCGUAGGUGGUUCGGUAAGUCGGAUGUGAAAUCUCCAGGCUCAACCUGGGGGGGUCAUUCGAUACUGCCGUGACUAGAGGUCGGUAGGGGAGUGUGGAAUUCCUGGUGGAGCGGUGAAAUGCGCAGAUAUCAGGAGGAACACCCGUAGCGAAGGCGGCACUCUGGGCCGAUACUGACACUGAGGAGCGAAAGCGUGGGGAGCGAACAGG
RNAcentral lists this ribosomal RNA (254 nucleotides) under uncultured bacterium. RNAcentral's name for it is "partial 16S ribosomal RNA". It matches the Rfam family "Bacterial small subunit ribosomal RNA", at positions 524 to 776 of the family's 1533-position model. The record is from RNAcentral.